This 253-nucleotide ribosomal RNA is filed under the name uncultured Eubacteriales bacterium. RNAcentral describes it as "uncultured Clostridiales bacterium partial 16S ribosomal RNA". It matches the Rfam family "Bacterial small subunit ribosomal RNA", at positions 524 to 776 of the family's 1533-position model. The record is from RNAcentral. Lineage: Bacteria; Bacillati; Bacillota; Clostridia; Eubacteriales.
UACGUAGGUGGCAAGCGUUGUCCGGAUUUACUGGGUGUAAAGGGCGUGCAGCCGGAGAGACAAGUCAGAUGUGAAAACCCGGGGCCCAACCCCGGGAGUGCAUUUGAAACUGCCAUGCUGGAGUGCCGGAGAGGUAAGCGGAAUUCCUAGUGUAGCGGUGAAAUGCGUAGAUAUUAGGAGGAACACCAGUGGCGGAGGCGGCUUACUGGACGGUAACUGACGCUGAGGCUCGAAAGCGUGGGGAGCAAACAGG